UUGACGUCAUGCUCAGGGUGGGAAGUUCGAGUUCUGUACGGUUGUGUUUGUAUCAGUUACGAAUAUGUCUGCUGUGUGCCUGGGUGUAAUUCCUACUACAAAAGACGGGAAAAAGACAAAACACGUUCGUUCCACCGGUUCCUGACAGUCACCAGAUUGAAGAGAGAGUGGAUUUCAAAAAUUAGAAGAGACAUCGGUACAUUUUUCCAGCAAUGAACCUGCUGGAGAGACAGAAGAUGCCAGUGUAAGCUUAGACCUGGCUGGAGUUGACACUGGUGCAGACCAAGUUGUUAAGCCAGCACCCCACUCUGACCAUGACUAUGCUGAACUCUCGGUCACUGGAAGAGCAGCUAGAAGCAGCACGGAAGGAGAUCGCCCGCCUUACGCAGGAGAAUACCAUCCUCAUCCUGUUUCAGCUUGAAGCAAAAAUGAUUCAAAGUUCUUGACAUUCUACACUGGAUUUCGGAGGUGCUGACCUGUUCAUUCCCCAGAGGAUUCCCACCCUGAGCAUGACGUCAUAGAAAGAUGGCCGCCGUGUGAAUAUGGUGAAUAGACACCAAGAGUUCAUGAGUGAUGAUGCACUGAACUGAACAUCGCGAGACUUUUGGGUGAGAUCCAAAAUGGCAGCGCACUGAACACUGACGCUUUACUGAAAACUUUAUUUUUCUUCUACUAAAAACAACCACUACCUCUCUACAACUCUCAUCAAAAACCGGAUUAUAUUCUCCAUCUUUUCCAACGGCAACCUCUUCAUUCUGGACGUUAUGUCAUCUGAACCCAGCAAGAAACGCACUCGUGACUACUCAACAGAGACUGAACCAGAAUCACCUACCGCUUGCGCUACUUCUACAUCCAUCGAGGUCAGUUUACUACAAUCCAUAAACAACAAACUUGCAAUACUGGAACAUCUGCACGCAGAUAUUAAGGACUUAAAAGCCAGCCUCGAAUUUUCCCAAUCACAGAUCGACACACUCGCAUUAGAAAACCGUGAACUCAAAGGAAGUAUUACAAAUUUAUCCGACCAUGUUAAUCAACUCACCAGCGAAAAUCGGAUCAUGAAAGAAACAAUCCUAGACCUCCAGUGCCGCAGCAUGCGCGAUAACCUCAUUUUUUCCGGAAUUCCCCUGCCGACUUCUAAAGAUACACCCGACGACCCAGAGAAAGCAGUUAAAGAAUUCUUGCAGUCAUCUCUCAAACUACCGCCAGAAACAGUUGACAAGAUUACCUUCCACCGUGUACACCGUCUCACUUCCAAAGACAAUAAAAAAAACCUCCUCCAAUUAUCGCCAAGUUCGAACACUUCAAACACAAAGAACUCAUCAAAAGCAAAGGGAAAGAACUGAAAGGCACUUCAUUCGGACUAAACGACCAAUUCCCACAAGUAAUACAGGAAAGAAGAAGAGCCCUCUUGCCCAUAAUGAAACAACUCAGGCAAGAGGGCAAACGAGCAGCACUGUCAGUCGAUAAACUAUGUCAAUGGAACUCUGUAUCGCAACCCCAAUAUCACCACCUGGCUAUAGCACAUCAUACCUCAUGCCAACAUUCAUCUUGAUUAUAAUAUUGUCACCCUCAACUCUCUCUAACCCACUGCCUACUGAUGCUUGGAUCACCUCUCUCUUCUCUCUUCUUAUGUUUCAUUCCUUUUGCUCCCCCUACCCACCCAUUCUCUUUUGCUCUCUCAAUGUUUAAUGUUAUUCAUGGUGUUUUGUCUAUACAUGUUUGCUUGUGUGUCCUGUCUGUUUUUGUUUAUUAUGUCUAUAGGCUAAAGUCAAAUUAUGAUCUGUAUGUUUUCAAUGCUAAACAGGAAAUGUUCAUGCUGUCACCACUCCAGAACCAAAUUCCUACCUCUUUAUGCUCUAUAUUCUUCUCAGCCCCUACCCUUUACAUCUCAUUCGCACACCACAUUACACACCUAUUCCUCCACCCCCCCUUCCCCCUCUCCUAUCUAACUGACACCUGCACACACUCUCACACACACAAUACCCACCUUAUCAAACAUUUUCAUAACUGUACAAUCACAACAUGGUACCACUUACAUUCCUGACCUGGAACAUCCGUGGGAUUGGAUCUCAGGCAAAGAGGCUCAAAAUCUUAAAUCAUUUGGAUAGUUUAAAAGCUGACAUAUGUCUCCUACAAGAAACUCAUCUCUCAGAAUUAGACUACACCCGCAUCAAAUCAAGACAAUUCAAUCACAUUUUC
Alosa sapidissima (American shad) is the source of this 2199-nucleotide long non-coding RNA. RefSeq lists it as uncharacterized. The transcript has 4 exons. The record is from RefSeq and is a predicted model, not a curated record. NCBI's taxonomy places the organism in Eukaryota, Metazoa, Chordata, Actinopteri, Clupeiformes, Clupeidae.